Molecule: ribosomal RNA, 467 nt
Filed under: uncultured bacterium
Lineage: Bacteria
Description: partial 16S ribosomal RNA
Rfam family: Bacterial small subunit ribosomal RNA
Source: RNAcentral
GACGAACGCUGGCGGCGUGCUUAACACAUGCAAGUCGAACGGAAAGGCCCUGCUUUUGUGGGGUGCUCGAGUGGCGAACGGGUGAGUAACACGUGAGUAACCUGCCCUUGACUUUGGGAUAACUUCAGGAAACUGGGGCUAAUACCGGAUAGGAGCUCCUGCUGCAUGGUGGGGGUUGGAAAGUUUCGGCGGUUGGGGAUGGACUCGCGGCUUAUCAGCUUGUUGGUGGGGUAGUGGCUUACCAAGGCUUUGACGGGUAGCCGGCCUGAGAGGGUGACCGGCCACAUUGGGACUGAGAUACGGCCCAGACUCCUACGGGAGGCAGCAGUGGGGAAUAUUGCACAAUGGGCGGAAGCCUGAUGCAGCAACGCCGUGUGCGGGAUGACGGCCUUCGGGUUGUAAACCGCUUUCGCCUGUGACGAAGCGUGAGGGACGGUAAUGGGUAAAGAAGCACCGGCUAACUACGU